GAGCGGUAGAGAGAAGCUUGCUUCUCUUGAGAGCGGCGGACGGGUGAGCAAUGCCUAGGAAUCUGCCUGGUAGUGGGGGAUAACGUUCGGAAACGGACGCUAAUACCGCAUACGUCCUACGGGAGAAAGCAGGGGACCUUCGGGCCUUGCGCUAUCAGAUGAGCCUAGGUCGGAUUAGCUAGUUGGUGAGGUAAUGGCUCACCAAGGCGACGAUCCGUAACUGGUCUGAGAGGAUGAUCAGUCACACUGGAACUGAGACACGGUCCAGACUCCUACGGGAGGCAGCAGUGGGGAAUAUUGGACAAUGGGCGAAAGCCUGAUCCAGCCAUGCCGCGUGUGUGAAGAAGGUCUUCGGAUUGUAAAGCACUUUAAGUUGGGAGGAAGGGUUGUAGAUUAAUACUCUGCAAUUUUGACGUUACCGACAGAAUAAGCACCGGCUAACUCUGUGCCAGCAGCCGCGGUAAUACAGAGGGUGCAAGCGUUAAUCGGAAUUACUGGGCGUAAAGCGCGCGUAGGUGGUUUGUUAAGUUGGAUGUGAAAUCCCCGGGCUCAACCUGGGAACUGCAUUCAAAACUGACUGACUAGAGUAUGGUAGAGGGUGGUGGAAUUUCCUGUGUAGCGGUGAAAUGCGUAGAUAUAGGAAGGAACACCAGUGGCGAAGGCGACCACCUGGACUAAUACUGACACUGAGGUGCGAAAGCGUGGGGAGCAAACAGGAUUAGAUACCCUGGUAGUCCACGCCGUAAACGAUGUCAACUAGCCGUUGGAAGCCUUGAGCUUUUAGUGGCGCAGCUAACGCAUUAAGUUGACCGCCUGGGGAGUACGGCCGCAAGGUUAAAACUCAAAUGAAUUGA
Molecule: ribosomal RNA, 854 nt
Filed under: uncultured bacterium
Lineage: Bacteria
Description: bacterial SSU rRNA
Rfam family: Bacterial small subunit ribosomal RNA
Source: RNAcentral